Molecule: ribosomal RNA, 869 nt
Filed under: uncultured archaeon
Lineage: Archaea
Description: bacterial SSU rRNA
Rfam family: Archaeal small subunit ribosomal RNA
Source: RNAcentral
UCCGGUUGAUCCUGCCGGCGGCCACCGCUAUAGGAAUUCGAUUAAGACAUGCGAGUCGAGAGUCUUCGGGACUCGGCGGACUGCUCAGUAACACGUGGAUAACAUGCCCUUAGGAGGGGGAUAAUCUCGAGAAAUUGAGGAUAAUACCCCAUAGGCCAUGAAUGCUGGAAUGCUUUAUGGCCCAAAGCUCCGGCGCCUAAGGAUUGGUCUGCGGCCUAUCAGGUUGUAGUGGGUGUAACGGACCCACUAGCCUAUGACGGGUAUGGGCCUUGAGAGAGGGAGCCCAGAGAUGGACUCUGAGACACGAGUCCAGGCCCUACGGGGCGCAGCAGUCGCGAAACCUUCACACUGGGGGAAACCCUGAUGAGGGAAUUCCUAGUGCCUGCAUUUUUUGUAGGCUUUUAUCUAGUGUAGAUAGCUAGAAGAAUAAGGGCCGGGUAAGACGGGUGCCAGCCGCCGCGGUAAUACCCGCGGCCCAAGUGGUGGUCGAUAUUAUUGAGUCUAAAACGUCCGUAGCCGGUUCAGUAAAUCUUUGGGUAAAUCGGCCAGCUUAACUGACCGAAUUCCGAAGAGACUGCUGAACUUGGGACCGGGAGAGGCCAGAGGUACUUCUGGGGUAGGGGUAAAAUCCUGUAAUCCUAGAAGGACCACCGGUGGCGAAGGCGUCUGGCUAGAACGGAUCCGACGGUGAGGGACGAAGCCCUGGGGCGCAAACGGGAUUAGAUACCCCGGUAGUCCAGGGUGUAAACGCUGCAGGCUUGGUGUUGGGGGUCCUUCGGGGGCGCCCAGUGCCGGAGAGAAGUUGUUAAGCCUGCUACUUGGGGGGAGUACGUCCGCAGGGAUGAAACUUAAAGGAUUUGGCGGGGGGG